Molecule: ribosomal RNA, 253 nt
Filed under: uncultured bacterium
Lineage: Bacteria
Description: partial 16S ribosomal RNA
Rfam family: Bacterial small subunit ribosomal RNA
Source: RNAcentral
UACAGAGGGUGCGAGCGUUGUCCGGAUUUACUGGGCGUAAAGAGCGCGCAGGCGGUCGUUCAAGUCGCGUGUGAAAGCCCCCGGCUCAACUGGGGAGGGUCACGCGAUACUGAUCGACUCGAAGGCAGGAGAGGGUAGUGGAAUUCCCGGUGUAGUGGUGAAAUGCGUAGAUAUCGGGAGGAACACCAGUGGCGAAGGCGGUGAGCUGGGCAGUUGCUGACACUGAGGCGCGACAGCGUGGGGAGCAAACAGG